This 253-nucleotide ribosomal RNA is filed under the name uncultured bacterium. RNAcentral's name for it is "partial 16S ribosomal RNA". It matches the Rfam family "Bacterial small subunit ribosomal RNA", at positions 524 to 776 of the family's 1533-position model. The record is from RNAcentral.
UACAGAGGGUGCAAGCGUUGUUCGGAAUUAUUGGGCGUAAAGGGCUCGUAGGCGGUUUGUCACGUCGGGAGUGAAAACUCAGGGCUCAACCCUGAGCGUGCUUCCGAUACGGGCAGACUAGAGGUAUGCAGGGGAGAACGGAAUUCCUGGUGUAGCGGUGGAAUGCGCAGAUAUCAGGAGGAACACCGGUGGCGAAGGCGGUUCUCUGGGCAUGACCUGACGCUGAGGAGCGAAAGCAUGGGGAGCGAACAGG